This 610-nucleotide ribosomal RNA is filed under the name uncultured bacterium. RNAcentral's name for it is "bacterial SSU rRNA". It matches the Rfam family "Bacterial small subunit ribosomal RNA", at positions 338 to 951 of the family's 1533-position model. The record is from RNAcentral.
CCUACGGGAGGCAGCAGUGAGGAAUAUUGGACAAUGGGCGCAAGCCUGAUCCAGCCAUGCCGCGUGCAGGAAGACGCAUCUAUGGUGUGUAAACUGCUUUUGUACGGGAAGAAACACUCCCUCGUGAGGGAGCUUGACGGUACCGUAAGAAUAAGGAUCGGCUAACUCCGUGCCAGCAGCCGCGGUAAUACGGAGGAUCCAAGCGUUAUCCGGAAUCAUUGGGUUUAAAGGGUCCGUAGGCGGUUUAAUAAGUCAGUGGUGAAAGCCCAUCGCUCAACGAUGGAACGGCCAUUGAUACUGUUAGACUUGAAUUACUAGGAAGUAACUAGAAUAUGUAGUGUAGCGGUGAAAUGCUUAGAUAUUACAUGGAAUACCAAUUGCGAAGGCAGGUUACUACUAGUGGAUUGACGCUGAUGGACGAAAGCGUGGGGAGCGAACAGGAUUAGAUACCCUGGUAGUCCACGCCGUAAACGAUGGAUACUAGCUGUUGGGCGCAAGUUCAGUGGCUAAGCGAAAGUGAUAAGUAUCCCACCUGGGGAGUACGUUCGCAAGAAUGAAACUUAAAUGAAUUGACGGCUGAGACGAGACGAGACGACGACGAGGGAGGAGG